RNAcentral lists this unclassified non-coding RNA (159 nucleotides) under uncultured Venturia. RNAcentral describes it as "sequence contains ITS1". The record is from RNAcentral. Lineage: Eukaryota; Fungi; Ascomycota; Dothideomycetes; Venturiales; Venturiaceae.
AUGGGUUAACGCCUCCGGGCACAAUCCCCACCCUUUGUAACCGCGGCCCGGAUUCGGCGCCUGGCGGGGAGCUCCCCUCUGUUCGCGGAGGGCCCCGCCUGCCGGAAUUAGCCAACCCUGCCUAGAAAACUGAAGUCUGAGAACAAGUUAAAUUGAACA